This is a non-coding RNA of Capsicum annuum, 106 nucleotides long. The record is from Rfam. Lineage: Eukaryota; Viridiplantae; Streptophyta; Magnoliopsida; Solanales; Solanaceae.
CUUUAAAUUUGGGUGUAGGGUCUGAUAAACUCAUAAAGUUUUAGUGCUGUCAUCAGCUUCUUCUUUAGUACCUACAGUUUGUGAGUUAAAUAACAGCACUACAUUU